Molecule: transfer RNA, 76 nt
Filed under: Fusobacteriaceae bacterium
Lineage: Bacteria; Fusobacteriati; Fusobacteriota; Fusobacteriia; Fusobacteriales; Fusobacteriaceae
Description: tRNA-Met
Rfam family: tRNA
About the family: Transfer RNA (tRNA) molecules are approximately 80 nucleotides in length.
Source: RNAcentral
CGCGGGAUAGAGCAGUUGGCAGCUCGUCGGGCUCAUAACCCGAAGGUCGCAAGUUCGAGUCUUGCUCCCGCCACCA